GAGGGCUAGGUACCGGAUACGGCUCCACUGGCCGUAGGACCUUGGGAUGCUGCCGGAGAAGAAAUUGCCGCCGAGGUGGACGUGGACGAGGUCGGUGAGGUUGGGGAGCGCUGCCGGCAGCGGACCGGUGAGGUUGUUAUUGUAGAGGUCGAGAACGCGAAGGCUCUUGAGCGACGCGAUGAUCUCGUCGGGGAAGGCGGUGGAGUUGAGGAUGUUGUUGGAGAGGUUGAGC
This 232-nucleotide long non-coding RNA is filed under the name Sorghum bicolor (sorghum). Its description in RNAcentral is "long non-coding RNA (SBIC_LNC001696)". The record is from RNAcentral. Lineage: Eukaryota; Viridiplantae; Streptophyta; Magnoliopsida; Poales; Poaceae.